GAUGAAGAACGUAGUGAAAUGCGAUAAGUAAUGUGAAUUGCAGAAUUCAGUGAAUCAUCGUAUCUUUGAACGCAUCUUGCGCUCCUUGGUAUUCUGAGGAGCAUGCCUGUUUGAGUGUCAUCAAAUUCUCAACCACUUCUUUUGAUGUGGCUUUGGAUAUGGGGGGAUUUCUUUUUUGCAGGCUUCUGAAAAACAAAGUCGGCUCCCCUGAAAUGUAUUAGUGGUGUCUGAGCAGGAGACUACUAUGGGUGUGAUAAAUCUAUCUAUGCCUUGGUACAACUGCUAUGCCGCUUCUAGCGAGUGCAUUUGACAAAUUUGACCUCAAAUCAGGUAGGACUACCCGCUGAACUUAAGCAUAUCAAUAAGCGAGGA
RNAcentral lists this unclassified non-coding RNA (372 nucleotides) under soil metagenome. RNAcentral's name for it is "partial contains 5.8S ribosomal RNA, internal transcribed spacer 2, and large subunit ribosomal RNA". The stretch from base 1 to 120 matches the Rfam family "5.8S ribosomal RNA", at positions 35 to 154 of the family's 154-position model. The record is from RNAcentral.